GAUGAACGCUGGUGGCGUGCCUAAUACAUGCAAGUCGAGCGAUUCUCUUCGGAGAAGAGCGGCGGACGGGUGAGUAACGCGUGGGUAACCUGCCCUGUACACACGGAUAACAUACCGAAAGGUAUGCUAAUACGAGAUAACAUGCUUUUAUCGCAUGGUAGAAGUAUCAAAGCUUUUGCGGUACAGGAUGGACCCGCGUCUGAUUAGCUAGUUGGUGAGGUAACGGCUCACCAAGGCGACGAUCAGUAGCCGACCUGAGAGGGUGAUCGGCCACAUUGGAACUGAGACACGGUCCAAACUCCUACGGGAGGCAGCAGUGGGGAAUAUUGCACAAUGGGCGAAAGCCUGAUGCAGCAACGCCGCGUGAGCGAUGAAGGCCUUCGGGUCGUAAAGCUCUGUCCUCAAGGAAGAUAAUGACGGUACUUGAGGAGGAAGCCCCGGCUAACUACGUG
This 452-nucleotide ribosomal RNA is filed under the name uncultured bacterium. RNAcentral's name for it is "partial 16S ribosomal RNA". It matches the Rfam family "Bacterial small subunit ribosomal RNA", at positions 28 to 507 of the family's 1533-position model. The record is from RNAcentral.